This is a long non-coding RNA of Macaca mulatta (Rhesus monkey), 337 nucleotides long. RefSeq lists it as uncharacterized. The record is from RefSeq and is a predicted model, not a curated record. NCBI's taxonomy places the organism in Eukaryota, Metazoa, Chordata, Mammalia, Primates, Cercopithecidae.
CAUUGUUCUGGGCUCACAGCCCGAGCAGGGGCCCUUGCUCUCAGGAGCCUCCAGCUCUUUCUGGACCUGAGCCCCGGGAGCCUUCACUACGCCCAGAUGUGCUUCCUGUGGAAGGAGACCCACAGAUGACACAGAAAAUCUGAGCAGCAGGUGAAUCCGAAGGACUGCCCGGAACCCCAGAGCAUGGCAGUGGGUGAGCAGACCUCCCUGUCCUGGGCAUCCCUGUGGCCAUGGAGCUCCUGGGUGAGCAGCUGCUCUGAAACAAGUCUGGUGAAGAACACAGCAGGACUCCUGAACAUCCUUCAUUAAAAUAAACAUUUAUCUAUGGAAACCAGAA